GAUGAACGCUGGCGGCGUGCCUAAUACAUGCAAGUCGAGCGAACGGACGAGAAGCUUGCUUCUCUGUUGUUAGCGGCGGACGGGUGAGUAACACGUGGAUAACCUACCUAUAAGACUGGGAUAACUUCGGGAAACCGGAGCUAAUACCGGAUGAUAUUUUGAACCGCAUGGUUCAAAAGUGAAAGACGGUCUUGCUGUCACUUAUAGAUGGAUCCGCGCUGCAUUAGCUAGUUGGUAAGGUAACGGCUUACCAAGGCAACGAUGCAUAGCCGACCUGAGAGGGUGAUCGGCCACACUGGAACUGAGACACGGUCCAGACUCCUACGGGAGGCAGCAGUAGGGAAUCUUCCGCAAAGGGCGAAAGCCUGACGGAGCAACGCCGCGUGAGUGAUGAAGGUCUUCGGAUCGUAAAACUCUGUUAUUAGGGAAGAACAUAUGUGUAAGUAACUGUGCACAUCUUGACGGUACCUAAUCAGAAAGCCACGGCUAACUACGUG
This 497-nucleotide ribosomal RNA is filed under the name uncultured bacterium. Its description in RNAcentral is "partial 16S ribosomal RNA". It matches the Rfam family "Bacterial small subunit ribosomal RNA", at positions 28 to 507 of the family's 1533-position model. The record is from RNAcentral.